UCAGGGAGGAACAAAAUGACGUGUACCUGAAGAAUAAGCAUCGGCUAACUCCGUGCCAGCAGCCGCGGUAAGACGGAGGAUGCAAGUGUUAUCCGGAAUCACUGGGCGUAAAGCGUCCGUAGGUGGUCAAAUAAGUCAACUGUUAAAUCUUGAGGCUCAACCUCAAAAUCGCAGUCGAAACUAUUCGACUAGAGUAUAGUAGGGGUAAAGGGAAUUUCCAGUGGAGCGGUGAAAUGCGUAGAGAUUGG
Molecule: ribosomal RNA, 248 nt
Filed under: uncultured phototrophic eukaryote
Lineage: Eukaryota
Description: partial 16S ribosomal RNA
Rfam family: Bacterial small subunit ribosomal RNA
Source: RNAcentral